This 115-nucleotide small nuclear RNA is filed under the name Erinaceus europaeus (western European hedgehog). The record is from RNAcentral. Lineage: Eukaryota; Metazoa; Chordata; Mammalia; Eulipotyphla; Erinaceidae.
GUGCUUGCUUUGGCAGCACAUAUACUAAAAUUGGAAUAAUAUAAUAAUAUAGAGAAGAUUAGCAUGGCCCCUGCACAAAGAUGACAUGCAAAUUCAUGAAGCGUUCUGUAUUUUC